UUAAGUGUUUUCCAUGGUAACAAGAUCUAUGUGUGUUAAGCGCAGAGAUGAAUGAUGGACCCACCUGAGCUGAUUAAGCCUUUGGUCGUCCUCGGUUGUAAGUGCAUAACAGAUGCUUUAAGCUGAUUUCAGCUUCUGCUGUGAUCCAGUGGCUGUGUUGCCUCUGUGUCAGGAUAGAAACCAAGAAUGGAUGCGCUCGAGCUGACCUACGGAUUCUUCAAUGGUCAUGAGCUCGUUGGCUGCGUCUUUGUUUUAAAGCAUGGAGGCCAAUAAUGUACAAGUUCAAUGAUAAAGAGCCAAGCAAGGACCCAUGAGAGGACUGGAAUACAUUCUGAACGUGUCUUGUGAUGAAUUCAUUUCUGCGUUACUGAAGUCCACUUAAAAAGGAGAUUUGGUUUUUCCUUAACAUUCCUUAAUUGAUAAAGAUGUACGUUAUUUUCAUUAUGAGGAAGAAGCCUAUAGGAGAUAAUGAAAGCUCCGUGCCGAUUUAAUCCUUCUGCCACGCCCAGUAAGCCUGUCUCAGGAGCCUA
Rhinolophus ferrumequinum (greater horseshoe bat) is the source of this 530-nucleotide long non-coding RNA. RefSeq lists it as uncharacterized. The record is from RefSeq and is a predicted model, not a curated record. The transcript is spliced from 7 exons. Lineage: Eukaryota; Metazoa; Chordata; Mammalia; Chiroptera; Rhinolophidae.